Molecule: ribosomal RNA, 497 nt
Filed under: uncultured bacterium
Lineage: Bacteria
Description: partial 16S ribosomal RNA
Rfam family: Bacterial small subunit ribosomal RNA
Source: RNAcentral
GAUGAACGCUGGCGGCGUGCCUAAUACAUGCAAGUCGAGCGAACGGACGAGAAGCUUGCUUCUCUGAUGUUAGCGGCGGACGGGUUAGUAACACGUGGAUAACCUACCUUUAAGACUGGGAUAACUUCGGGAAACCGGAUCUAAUACCGGAUAAUAUUUUGAACCGCAUGGUUCAAAAGUGAACGACGUUCUUGCUGUCACUUAUAGAUGGAUCCGCGCUGCAUUAGCUAGUUGGUAAGGUAACGGCUUACCAAGGCAACGAUGCAUAGCCGACCUGAGAGGGUGAUCGGCCACACUGGAACUGAGACACGGUCCAGACUCCUACGGGAGGCAGCAGUAGGGAAUCUUCCGCAAUGGGCGAAAGCCUGACGGAGCAACGCCGCGUGAGUGAUGAAGGUCUUCGGAUCGUAAAACUCUGUUAUUAGGGAAGAACAUAUGUGUAAGUAACUGUGCACAUCUUGACGGUACCUAAUCAGAAAGCCACGGCUAACUACGUG